Molecule: ribosomal RNA, 540 nt
Filed under: Tilapia guinasana (Otjikoto tilapia)
Lineage: Eukaryota; Metazoa; Chordata; Actinopteri; Cichliformes; Cichlidae
Description: partial 16S ribosomal RNA
Rfam family: Bacterial large subunit ribosomal RNA
Source: RNAcentral
ACAUCGCCUCUUGUACCCUUAAAUAUAAGAGGUCCCGCCUGCCCUGUGACUGUAAGUUUAACGGCCGCGGUAUUUUGACCGUGCAAAGGUAGCGCAAUCACUUGUCUUUUAAAUGAAGACCUGUAUGAAUGGCAUAACGAGGGCUUAACUGUCUCCUUUUCCCAGUCAAUGAAAUUGAUCUCCCCGUGCAGAAGCGGGGAUACUAACAUAAGACGAGAAGACCCUAUGGAGCUUUAGACGCCAGAACUGACCAUGUUAAACACCCCUUAAAUAAAGGACAAAACUAAUUGGCCCCCGUUCUAAUGUCUUUGGUUGGGGCGACCGCGGGGAAAUAAAAAACCCCCAUGUGGACCGGGAGCACGCUACUCCUACAACCCAGAGUUACAGCUCUAAACAACAGAAUUUCUGACCAAUAAGAUCCGGCAUAAUAGCCGAUCAACGGACCGAGUUACCCUAGGGAUAACAGCGCAAUCCUCUUUUAGAGCCCAUAUCGACAAGAGGGUUUACGACCUCGAUGUUGGAUCAGGACAUCCUAAUGGU